UUUGAAUAAGAAACUUAAAUUGAUUUCUUAUCUCUCGUGCAGAGGCUAAUUCAAAUAAUUGAACCAUCUCACUUUCUGAAAUACACUUCAAUUCCAUUUUCUUUACAUAACAUUUUAAAUAUUUUGUAAUAUCCUUUCCUUCAAAUUGAUCGAUCUUGUCCACGACCGCUUAUAAUGCUUUGUUAGCCAUACUCUCUUUGCGAUCUUUAACCUGUUGCUCUUGUUGUUGCAUGAAUAAGGUCAAAGCUUCUAACAUGCUUGUGGAGUUGGGAUCAAAAUGUAUACCUUGUCCUCCAAAUGAAGGACUAUCCAACUCUACUUGAAGCACUAUCCAAAUUGCCUCCUUCCAUUUUCCUUUAAUUCCUUCUCCAAAAUUCAAAUAAAAAAAAUAAUAAUAAAUUCCUUCCACCUCAAGCGUUUCACGUCGGGUUCACCAAAUAUGUUGUAAUGUGUGAAGUCUUGCUUGAGAAUGCUCCGAGCACCUGGCUUUAGAAGAAAGAAUAGAAAUUGCGAUAACAAAAUCCUAAAUAGAAUACUAACAAUGUUCUAAUUAGACUAUAAUAAUGGUAAACAAACGUAAUCAAAUUCAAAACAACUCAAAGAAAUUUCAAACAAACAAUAAAAUUCUUAAAAAAAUAUUAGAAUGAUCACAAAUUUUAUUCAAAUAUAUGUCAAUUCAACCUUAAUUUAAUUCUAGUUAAAACCCUAUUGAAUUUCACUCAACUUUAGACCAAACCUCAUUAAAUCUUAAACCCUAAUAAUUCCUAAACCCUAAGUCAAAUC
RNAcentral lists this long non-coding RNA (783 nucleotides) under Physcomitrium patens. RNAcentral describes it as "long non-coding RNA (PPAT_LNC006212)". Lineage: Eukaryota; Viridiplantae; Streptophyta; Bryopsida; Funariales; Funariaceae. The record is from RNAcentral.